AACCAAAAUAUGACGGGUUGAGCUAUCCUCCGUUAUUUUCGACCAUACACACUCAAUCUCUGUUAUUUUCGACCUCCAUGGCAGAGAUCUGCAAACAAGGUUAGCGAUAGUAGACAGAUGACCCAGCAAAGGAGUACCGAGAUGAAACUGAUGGAGGUGCAGUUUCAGGCUUGGCUCCGUGGUACUGGAGUAACUUGUUAUAAUUUGACAAUGCAUCAGAAGCAUGCGUUGAGUAUAAUCUACCCUCUUGAUCAGCUUCCCUCCUACGCAAGGGAUCUGCCUCAAAUAGGGACGUCUCUCUACGACCAUCAACAUAAUAGGAACCUGAAGAAAGUUCAUCUCUCCUUGAAGGCGGCACAUAUGCAUCUGCAGAUGAAGCACCAUGAUGAUAAGUAUAAUAUGGAUCCCUUGUGUAUGGGUCCAAAGCAGCAAGAGCAGAGCCAGAAGAAGUUGGAGGUAUCGAAGUAACGGCUGGUGGCAAUUCACGUCUACCGCUAGAAUUAUAUGGCUGGUUCAGGUAGAGAGGAACAGCCAGAACGGCUUCUCUUUGCAAAGGUACAGUGUCUCUGUAUAUAGGGUCUGGCAGUCUAAGAAGGUGCUCUCUUUCCUGGUCUCUCUGGUACGGGUCUAGAGUGGAUGGAAUAUGAUGAGAGGGAGUCAACUUUCUUCUCUCUCCUGAAAGGCCAUACGUUCUAUAUUCCUUUUCACUCAUGAAUAAAUCACAAGGAAACUCAUCUCUGUGCAUAGAGCCCGCCUGCUGGUAUUCAACAUGUCCAUCCCUUUCAUCAGAGAGCAUAGAGUAUCUCCUAGCAUCAUGAUUGCCUCUAGCAAAUGCUUCCCUUUCCAAAUGGACCUGCAAGUCUCUUGCUCCCGCAUAAACUUCUCUGUCCUGAACAGUCACCAUUGGUGGCGAGCGUACAGGCCCUAUAACUGGGCGGAAAAGUGCACUGAGUUUCAGGACCUAAGAGAAAGUAGAUGAUUUUUUUUAUAUCUGUAGGGUAAUCAGAUAUCUAAUACAUGUACAGAAAAGAAUUCAUACCAAGCUAGCAGAUGAGCUGGCCAAAUUUUACCUGUCGAACAGUAAGUUCUGUUUUGAACUUGUUCUUCUCAUUAUAAUUGUCCUUUAUAGCCUUCUUGAAAACACUCUCAGUGAUUGGAAAACAGUCCUUGUGAACAACAAACCGCACCUGGAGCUCACUAGCAUCAGAAUGCAGAUCCUGUAAAGUUGAUGAGAAAACAGUAAUGCUACAAAAGAGAAGUCUGCCUCAUAAAUUAAAAUAAAACCUGAAAUGGGAAGGAACCACCAAAAGCCUUGGGCUCCAAUUUUACUCCACCAGCAGAGGAUGCUUCAUAGAUACCAUACAUAAGUUUCAGAUCAAAAUCAUAGAGGAAAAGCUUAAGUCCAGGUUUCACACCCAAUAUGAGUUCCUUUUUAUUCAUUGUGACACCCAUGACACGAUAGAGGAAACAAUCUGGCUUGGUUUUUGCACUGCACAUAAAGAUCAUACCACCAAGCUUUUCUUUCUUCUUCUCAUCCCAUCCAUUCUUUUCUCUCUCAUCAUGUUUUCCUUUGUUUUUUUGAUUUCUCGAGCUUCUGUCAACUAAGACACCAUGCUUUUCUCCACUCUUUUGGUUCCUUUGACCCUUAUUUGACCCAACAAAUCUUUCUUGGUUCUUUCGAAUCUCUUGGCCAUUCUCAAUGCGCUCUUUCUUAGAAACAUUCUUUUCACUCGAAUUCAGGUUAUCGGCAUCACCAUGCUCAUUUCUGUUUCUUUCUCCCUUGCCUUGUAUAAUAUCUUUAUUCUUCUUUCUGUUUCUUCCUUGAGAUUUUGGACUGCUUUUAGCUUUCUUGGACUUCAAAGAAUUGUUAGCUGAAGGUUUCUCUAUGAUUUUAGAUUUGGCCCUCAAUGAUUUGGGGGUUCUUUUUCUGGAUGAUUGACCUUUAGUUAAUGCAUCCACAAGAUUUCCAUCUCCAUUGUUGUUUAUUUCAGAUUGUAACUUAGUCGAUGCUUCAAUAGGAUUCUCAGUUUCCAUAUUGUUAUUCUCAGUUGACUGCGAUUUUGUGGAGGCUUCAGCUAGCUCAGUUUCUGUAUCAUUAAUCUCUUGUUCCAUCCCCUGCCAAGCAAUCGCAUGCCCCAAUUCCAAUAUUGACCCUGCAGACGAAAUAAAAAAACAAAAAACAAAAACAUCUUUAAAUUGAUUCAAUAUGAUUUUCAAUUCUUUACAUUGUGAACCUAUUGUACUUACAAAUACAUCUUGGAAGAGAAUCUUUGAAUUUGGCUUAGACUUUGACCUUGCAGUCUCCAUCGGUGAAAAGAAGAGGGAUACUCUGCAAGGUCUAUUAUUUGGAAAAUACAAAUAUUCGAUGCAACACUGAAUUUUAUGAAACUGAAAUUUAGGGGUUGUUUGGUAACACCACCAAAAGUUUGUAAUACAGUGACAGAAAUGAGAAACUAUCAAUAAACCAUCUUGUUUGUGUUCCUGAAACUGAAAAAAUUUAAGAAAAAUAAAACCUUUCAUUGGUGACCUGAGGCUGUGGCCGAUAGGUGGAGAAUCUAUAAUAUCUGUUUGUUAACUUGUGGUAUCUGUUUGCGACGAUUGAACUUGCUCUUAUUUUUUUUUAACAACUCAAAUCGUCAAACUUAAUUUUAGAGGUUUCCCGCAACUGGUUAGUGGUCACUGGUUUCUUUGUUUCUUCGCUAGAAUCUGUAACAGACACAGGUGCACUUCCAGGUUCUUUUGCCAGCAUAUCUGUAGAAAUGUAUGUUGCUUUAAUUUUUGUGAUUUUUUAUUAAUGAAUUUCAUGAAAUGAUGUUGAAACCUCAAACUCUUGUUUAAAUUUACUGACAAUCAGAAAAAAAAUAUCAAGUUGCAGUUAGGUCUAAUUUAUGGUUCAUUUCUUACGAGUGUAAUUGUGGCAUUUCUUUUUGUUUUUAACAGUUUAUUAUGGCGUUGAAAAUUCAUUCCGUAGUUUAGCUCCACAUGUUGCACAGGUUGUGUCAUGAAUUCCUUAUUUCGUUUGCUGCUAUACUUUUGUUGUAAUGUUUUGAAUUUAAGAGUAGUAAAAGUCAAUAAAGCCCUUGAAGGUUUAAAGAGUAAGUGUGAUUAAAAGAGGGGUAUUGUAGUAAUUGAAUAAGAAGAUGAUAAAUAUAAAUAGAAAAAAAAAGAGAAAUCUGAAAUUAAGAGUGAAAAACUGACGGGAGAAGAGAAGAAAAGGGGAAGAAGAAGAAGAGAAAAAGAGAGAAAUUAGAAGGGAAAUAGAAAGGAAUUGAAGAAAAUAAGUUAAAAGUGUAAGAUUUAUGCUUUAAUGUGUAUAAUAUGUUAUUUGAACUUUAAAUUUUGGUUUUGAUGAAUGUUAGGGUUUUGAAGAUUAUGUUUUGGAUUUGAUUGAUGAAUUAAUUUGAAUGUUAGGGUUUGAUUGUCGUGGGUAAUUGAUUAUUUAGUUGAUUAUGGAAGAUUUUGAUGAUUUUGAGUUAUGAAUUGUGUAAAUGGUAAAUUUUGAGUUAGAAAUUUGGAAAGAACAGUAGAUUUUCUUUUUAAAUUCUGGGUUGGAGGUUGAAGAUGACGAAAAUUCAAUUUGGUCCCUCAAUUUGCGAAAUUACAGUUUAGUCCCCAAACUUUGGAAAAUUAUAAAUUGGUCCCUGGAGCAUAUUCCGAGAUUCUGAACAGAAUAAAAUAUGAAUUAUGGGCAGAAUUACAGUAUAUUUAUGAAUUGUAAACACUUUCAAUUUGGUCCUCCAAUUUGACAAAAAUUACCAUUUGACCCUAAAAAUUUGGUAAAAUUCCAGAAUGAUCCCUGGAGCAUAAUUAUGGUCAGAAUUUCAUUAUAUUCAUGGAUUUAUGACAAAUUUUAGUUUGGUCCUCCAUUUGAUAAAAAUUACAAUUUGACCCUAAAAAUUUGAAAAAUUCGAGAAUGGUCCUUGGAGCAUAAAUAGAGGUUCUGGACAGAAAUGAGGAUGAAUUAUGGACAUAAUUCCACUAUAGUCAUGAAUUUAUGAUAUAUUUAGUUUGGUCCUCCAAUUAGACGAAAAUUACAAUUUGGCCCUAAAAAUAUGAUACAUUCCAGAUUGGUCCCUAGCUGCAAUAUUAGCUUUUUCAGAUUGGUUUGAUGAAUAAAUGAUGGUUAUUUAGUGAAUUAUUAUCAAGUCUUAUUAUUUUUUUUUAUUAUGGAUUAGAUUUCGGGAAAGCCGUUAAUUUUUGAGUUUUUAGGAAAAUUGACUAGUUAGUUUAAAAACAUAUAGGGUUACGGAAUACACCUUUAGUUAAGUGUAUUAAAUAGGUUAAAUAUUCUUUUGAGUCGUUCUUGAAUAUGUCUCCUUUGUAUUCAGAUAAUCCUGAUAUUCUACCAGCGGGACGUCAGUAGGAUUUUCUUCGAUGUUUGCCUUUGACUUCUGUUUGAUUUCGAGUCAGGUGAGUGGAUAAUUUUCCAUAUGCAUGAGAAAUAUUAUAAAUAUUUGAUUUGUUAAUAUGAAUUGGAUCAUGCUUAUUGAUAAUAUAUAUGUUGAUUAUUAUCCUUGUUAUGAUAAAGGAUGAUCAAUUAUUGAAUCUGAAUUCUUGAUAUAUGAACCAGUAUAUAUUUUGAAUUGACUUCUGAAUUGAUAUCUCCUCAUUUGAUUGAUAUCAUGAGUUGAGCUUUGAGAUACGAAUAUGUUUGUUUGAUUAUGAUUAUGAACCUAUGGUAUGUCAGUCAGAAUACUCAUGCUAACAGGGUAGUGUUAGUCUUUGUGCACAUCGUAUCUGAACCCUAGUUGGUGGGGGGAGUCACCAACCUGUGUGGACUGAUCAUCCCACAGUACGGAGCCUCAUGCUCAUUGCAUUUUGAUUUUCUAACGAGCUUUACCUUAUGAUAUUCUUGUUAUGGCCUAUUUGAUAAACCUUCCUAUAAGAACCCAGAGUCAUACUUGUAUAUAUAAUUCGCAUUGUUGUAUUACCUCGUGUGUGUAUUGAACGUUAUCUACUCACUGAGUUAUUGAACUCACCCUCUCAUUAUUUAUCUUUUCAGGCUUAUAGCUUGAUAGCGGGUUACUUUUAUUGAACCUUUCGAACCUGUUUUUUUGUUGUAAUUUGUACCUUCCUUUUAUGUCUAGUUAGUGCUCCAAAACUAUGAAAUUAUAUUAACUCUUGUAUUAAGACAAUGAAAUUAUAUUAUGAAGUUAGUUUGUUGUUAAAGCUGCGUUGAAUUCUUAUUGAGUUGUUUAAAGGAUAAGAUUGUAUGUAAGUUUGGGUUCGUAUAGGUAUGGAACCUUGGAGGGGAACCUUGUCUAUGUGCCGGUCAUGGAUCCGGGAAAGGUUGUGACAUUUGUCGCUCUCAUUAAUGGUUUUCUGGUGUUCACAGUGGCUGUUGAGCUCAUACAACAGUACUCAAUUACUUCUGAUGGUGUUUCUUGCCAUAGUUUCUCUAUUUUUGGGUACCAUGCCAACCUUUGUCUCACAAACACUACAACAAAUGAGGUCUAGUUCAUUUACGUGUACUCUUUCAUAUAGUUUAGUUGUUUUCAUUUCAUAUAUGUUUAGGCUGGAUGUCGAUGCUCUUUUAAAUGUGGUUUUUUCCAUUUCUCUCGGAUAUAGGAUGAGGCAGAAUUUGGCCAGUAAUUAACAUCAUAGGAGAAGCCUUUUUUGUAACUUUUUGACUCCAUUGCAGCAGCUUUACCUGAUGGGCAAAAUAGGGAAAAGUUGACCGUGUCAAGCCAUGAAAACAAAUACAGAUAUCAAUUUCCCGGCUUGGUAUAUGGAAUACCACGUAAUUCAGAAAAUUUCUAUGGAAGUUGCACUUUCUCCUCUUCAAGCUUCCUAAUGUUUUGUCCAACCAUGAGUUUUUCAUAAGGGUAGCAAUUAACAUAGAAACUUCUGAAAUCAGAAGAUUUAUUGAUUUUUUUGGCUGGUGUUAUGGUUUGUUAUUGUGCUUCGAUAUUUAAAAGAGGGAUAGGGAGCAUUGGGAGAAAUUAAGGGCUGGGGGGUUUAGAAGUGCUAAAAUUAAGUAAGGGUGUUGAAAAUUACAAGAACCUUGGCUAUUACUUUAAUAGAUUUUGGGGGGAGGUUGGGUUUGAAUCUGUCUGCGAUUUCCACCACUUCAGAGAACUGCACUAAUUUUUUAAGUAAUCUCCCCUAAAAUCUCUAGAUUUUAAUGUGCUUCUGUUCAACUCUAAAUAUGAUGACUCCAACCAGUUGAUUAUGUUGUUUAAAUUCCCUUGUGGUAUUUAUAGACAACCAUAGGCCAUAGCCACCUUCUAUCUCUCCAUGCGUGUACAAUUUUUUUGGAUUAACUGGUGUUCUCAGUAUUGGAAUCUCAUUUACUAGGUUAAUACUGUAAUCCUGAAACUUGUGGUCGUUGCUUUUUGCUGGAAUUACAGACCUUCAAGUGGGAAGACUACAUAAGCUGGCAAAGGAAGCUAAAUGAAGCAAGGGUUAGUGCUGCAGCACUUAAAGCAAGCAUCAGUGGGAUGAGCAGUGAAGCAAAGCGUCCAGAGAGCAUAUGUAAAUCCUUUUUCCGGAGAUCGCCCCUCGAAGAUUCUCAGGUGGUAUAAGGAAAACAAGUAUGGCAAGGGGUUCUUUCACAACAUGUUUGAGGUAAUUUGGUGUAACUACAGAUCUACAUCUCAUUUAGUAAGAACAGCAUUCGAAAAUUUUACAUGAAAAUGAAGAGGGCAUAGUUUCUUGCAUCCAGCAUGCCAAGUCGUGAAAAACAUGCAACACAUAUCACUAGAGAGCGUUAAUGGCCAUCAGAGCAUGCAACACAUACACUCAAUGCCUGUGAGAAAACUCACUUGAUUUGUACCUUGCCUUUUGCAUUACUGUAGCAGUGAUCAUAUAAAUCUUUUCAAAAUCUCCGUGCAUUGCCUUAAUGGCUAUGUGCUUUUUCGUGGACAGAGGAGAUCAACUGUUGUAGAAUAGAUCAGUCAGUAUACAUGCAGCAUCCACACCAAUACAAGGGUUUGAUUUAGGAUGAUAACUAUAUUCGUUUUUAUGCAGGUUCGCCUUCGUUUAUCUGAAUGAAAAUAGAUAUAGAGGGACCUUUGCUUUUAUGAAGAUAAAUGUGGAAAUGAGUAAAAAUAAUCGACUUAUUCGAGUAUGAAGGUGAAGGCCAUACCAUAACUUAUAAAGGGUUAAUUAUAUUUUAGUCAAUCCAGUUUAGUAAAACUAACUAAUCAGUCAUCUUAGUUUCAAAAACUAUAUAUUUAAUCCUUAUGUUCUUAAAUAAAUUUAUAACUAGAUUCUUCACAUUCUUUUCUUUUUUAAGAUUACCUUGAUUAAACUAAACUUGUUCGAUAAAUGUAAAAUAUUUUGUUUUUUUUUUUCAUAGCCUAUAUGCUUUACUUAAUGUAAAUUGAUCAUGAAAAAUAUCACCUGAACCUUUAAUAAAAAUAGAUACAAAGGAUUGAAAAUUAUGAAUGCAAAUUGGUAUAAAAAUUAGGAAGCUUCCAUUUAAGCUGGGGUGGAUGGACCCUCCACUGAUCCAGGAAUGCGUGGAAACCAAUAUGAAAUAUUAACUGUUUAAUCGAAAUCAAAAGGGGAUGUAGCUCAAAUGGUAGAGCGCUCGCUUUGCAUGCGAGAGGUACAGGGUUCGAUCCCCUGCAUCUCCAUUUCUGUUUUUUUUUAGCUUGAAUGGAGUAUUCAGCUAAAACAAUAUUGUGUUCUGGAAGACACUGCUAUAAUUGGAGGGCUGAAGAAAUUCCAACUGCCAAGUGAAUUGGGGAAGCUGAGGACUUCAGUUUGUUUCCCUGUGAAAACAUGAACUCUGUACAGAGAAGUGAGGACAUCCAUGAAGGGAUUUAGAGUUUAGAUAAGUCACUAUUCAUACCUUCUACUUUGGGCAUUACCAGAGCUCAAGAAAUUCUAUUCAGGAAGACACCGACAUAUUAUCAAGAAAUUAUUAUGUGUGUAUCACUGUGACAAAUUGGAGGUAUUUGAUUCAGGACAUUCAUAGGAACACAUAUGAUUCAAAAAGAGACCCACCUGUCUAUGCUGCAAUUAUUUUGGUCUUCCAAAUACUAUUUGAAGGGAGACACUUUCUACAAUUAUUUUUAUUUAGAUUUUCUAAAUCUUGAAAAAUUUCACAUUCAGUAUAAUAAAAAAGAUAUAAUUUUUUUUUAUCUGGAUUGAAAGAGCUUUAUUAUUCAAAAAUAAUUAGCUUGCUAGCUAUUUUCAUUUUUAGAUUUAAAUUAAGUACUAUUUCAGAUUUUUUUUUCAAUUUUCCUUUUUGCUUUCUUAUUUUUUUCAUCUAUUUAGAUUAAUACUUUCAAUUUAAUUAGUUGGGAUAUUUUUUUAUAUUUAAUUAAUAUUUCUUUUGUUUCUGUAGCAAUGUAGCAAGCCAAUUCCUCACUGUUUAUGGAUGUUGUGCACUUGCUGAUUUGGCAGAGUUCAAUCGGUUAGUUCUCCAAAGUGGGCCCCUAGAUUCUGUAGGAAAUCAAGUUGUUCUUCUUUUUUUUUAUCUUUUUAUGAAGGAAAGAUGCGCUCUUUCAACUAUACAGAGAAUAAUCAUUAAGCCAUCCACUGUUGCUCUCAUCCAUUCCCUUGCUUUCCCACUGCUGAUAAACCUCAGUUGUUUAUAAUCUGCCGUAAUAUUUGCAUUUAUGCUCACUCACUGCUCUGUUAAUUAGCUGAAACCAAGAGGUAUGCUUGCUUCAGGACUUUUUCUUUUUUCUAUUUUUAUCACUUGAUUCCAGAGACCCUUUGAUGUUAAUUUGCUAUUCAUCUUGAUUACUUUCUUUCUUUGUUACUUUAUGCUUUUGAAAAGUCUCUGCUUUGCUGCUUGUUUAUUAUUUGUGUUGUUUUUGCUUUAUUAAACCUCAGCUGUUUAUAAUCUGCAGUAAUAUUUGCACCUCUGCUCACUGGUCUGAAGUCGCUGCUCUAUUGAUUAGCUGAAACCAAGAGGUAUGCAUGCUUAAGGACUUUUCCUUUUUUCUAUUUUUAUCACUUGAUUCCAGAGACCCUUUGAUGUUAAUUUGCUUUUCAUCUUGAUUGCUUUCUUUCUUUGUUACUUUAUGCUUUUGAAAAGCCUCUGCUUUGCUGCUUGUUUAUUAUUUGUGUUGUUUUUGCUUUAUUAAUGUUAGUUGACUUGCAACAAAGAAAUCCUUUUGCUGUUCAUCUCUGAUUUAGUUCCAGAAGAUUUGAAAAGUUUCCUUUUGAUUUAAUUUGUUCAUUGCAGUUCCUUGAUUGCUUGAUUCCAGACAAGAAGAAGAGUUAAGUUUCAUUGGACAUGGAAAUUGUGAUUUCUAUUGUAGCCAAAGUUGCUGAGCUGUUAGUUGUUCCCAUUAAGAGACAGAUUGGUUAUGUAAUUGAUUGCAAUACCAAUAUUCAGAACUUGAAAAAUGAAGUUGAGAAGUUGACAUAUGCAAAAACAAGGGUGAUUCAUUCUAUAGAGGAGGCUAUAAGUAAAGGGGAAGAGAUUGAAGUUGACGUUGAGAACUGGCUGGGAAGUGUUGAUGGGGUCAUUGAAGGGGGAUGCGGUGUUGUUGGAGAUGAAUCAAGUAAGAAGUGCUUCAUGGGUUUGUGUCCUGAUCUAAAGAUACGUUAUCGGUUGGGUAAAGCAGCGAAGGAGGAGUUGACGGUUGUUGUUGAUCUCCAGGAAAAAGGGAAAUUUGAUAGAGUUUCUUACCGUGCUGCUCCAUCGGGUAUAGGGCCUGUCAAGGAUUAUGAGGCCUUUGAAUCAAGAAAUUCUGUAUUAAAUGAUAUUGUGGAUGCAUUGAAGGAUGGUGACGUGAACAUGGUUGGGGUAUAUGGGAUGGGUGGUGUGGGGAAGACCACACUUGUGAACAAGGUUGCUGAACAAGUCAAGGAGGGCAGGCUGUUCGAUAAGGUGGUUCUGGCACUUGUGUCACCUACUCCAGACAUCAGAAGAAUUCAAGGUGAAAUAGCAGAUGGGCUGGGACUCAAAUUGGAUGCAGAGACUGAUAAAGGAAGGGCAAGUCAACUAUGCAGGGGAUUGAAGAAAGUGACUACAGUACUUGUAAUUCUUGAUGAUAUUUGGAAAGAACUUAAAUUGGAGGAUGUCGGAAUCCCUUCAGGGAGCGAUCAUGAAGGAUGCAAGAUACUCAUGACUUCAAGAAAUAAAAAUAUACUGUCUCGGGAGAUGGGCGCAAACAGAAAUUUCCAGAUUCAAAUUUUGCCUGUAAGAGAAGCAUGGAAUUUUUUCGAAAAGAUGGUGGGGGUUACUGUUAAAAAUCCUAGUGUACAACUUGUUGCUGCUGAAGUAGCCAAAAGAUGUGCCGGUUUGCCGAUUUUACUUGCUACAGUUGCUAGGGCACUGAAAAACGAAGAUUUAUAUGCUUGGAAGGAAGCCUUGACACAGCUAACAAGGUUUGAUAAAGAUGAUAUUGACAAAACCGCUUACUCGUGUCUGGAACUGAGUUACAAAGCUUUGAGAGAUGAUGAAAUCAAGUCAUUGUUCUUGCUUUGUGGGCAAAUCUUAACUUAUGAUGCUUUAAUCUCAGACUUGUUAAAGUAUGCUAUAGGCUUGGAUUUGUUCAAGGGACGUUCCACAUCGGAAGAAGCAAGAAACAGACUGCAUACAUUGGUGGAUGAACUUAAAGCCUCUUGUUUGUUGCUAGAAGGUGACAAUGAUGGAAGCGUGAAAAUGCAUGAUGUUGUUCAAAGUUUUGCCAUCUCUGUUGCAUUAAGGGACCACCAUGUGCUUACCGUGGCAGAUGAAUUCAAAGAAUGGCCAACCAAUGAUGUGCUUCAACAGUACACUGCAAUCUCUUUGCCUUUCCGGAAAAUUCCUGAUCUUCCUGCGAUAUUAGAAUGUCCAAAUCUCAAUUCGUUUAUACUGCUGAACAAGGAUCCCUCACUGCAAAUACCAGACAACUUUUUCAGAGAAAUGAAGGAGCUUAAAGUCUUGGAUCUGACAGGAGUUAAUCUUUCACCACUGCCUUCGUCACUUCAAUUUCUUGAGAACCUUCAAACGCUGUGUUUGGAUUUUUGUGUUUUGGAAGAUAUAUCUAUAGUUGGAGAGCUAAAGAAGUUGAAAGUUCUCAGCUUAAUGGGUUCUGAUAUUGUUUGUUUGCCAAGAGAAAUAGGAAAAUUGACUCGUCUGCUACUUCUAGAUUUGAGCAAUUGUGAAAGGCUUGAAGUAAUAUCACCAAAUGUCCUUUCUUCCUUGACCCGGCUAGAAGAAUUAUAUAUGGGAAACAGCUUUCUGAAAUGGGAGGCUGAAGGACCAAGCAGUGAAAGAAACAGUGCUUGCCUGUCAGAAUUGAAGCUUCUGGCAAACUUAAUUACCUUAGACAUGCAAAUUACAGAUGCAGAUCAUAUGCCCAAGGACUUGUUUUUGUGCUUUCAAAAGUUGGAAAGGUUCAGAAUAUUUAUUGGAGAUGGGUGGGACUGGUCUGUUAAGUAUGCAACCUCAAGAACUUUGAAACUCAAGCUCAAUACAGUUAUUCAGUUGGAGGAGCGGGUGAACACGCUGCUGAAGAUCACUGAAGAACUUCAUUUGCAAGAACUGAAUGGUGUUAAGAGUAUCCUCAAUGACUUGGAUGAGGAAGGUUUCUGUCAGCUGAAGGAUCUUCACGUCCAAAAUUGUCCUGGAGUUCAAUAUAUCAUCAACUCGAUGAGGAUGGGUCCUCGAACUGCUUUUCUGAACUUGGACUCACUGUUUCUUGAAAAUUUGGAUAACUUGGAGAAGAUCUGCCAUGGCCAACUUAUGGCAGAGUCGCUUGGAAACUUGAGAAUUUUGAAGGUAGAAAGUUGUCAUAGGUUGAAGAAUUUAUUUUCAGUCUCCAUUGCAAGAAGAGUUGUGCGACUUGAAGAAAUCACAAUAAUUGAUUGCAAGAUCAUGGAAGAGGUUGUUGCUGAGGAAAGUGAGAAUGAUACUGCUGACGGUGAACCGAUAGAGUUCACUCAAUUACGUAGACUGACACUGCAAUGUCUGCCUCAGUUCACAAGCUUUCACUCUAAUAGAAGGCAGAAGCUAUUAGCAAGUGAUGUGAGGUCAAAAGAAAUUGUUGCGGGGAAUGAGCUUGGGACUUCCAUGUCACUUUUCAAUACAAAGGUCUGGUUUGCUUUCUUUUAACAAGCUAUUAUUUGUCCUUUUAACCUCAAAAAACAAAAACCCAUUCUCAGGAGUAGACAAAUUGAAGUCUUUGAUUUUUUUUUUUUUUCUCGCUGAAAAAUAAAAAGAACUUAAUAAAACAAAAUAUGUGCAUGCAGAUUUUAUUCCCCAAUUUGGAGGACCUGAUGCUCUCCUCCAUCAAAGUGGAAAAGAUAUGGCAUGACCAACAUGCUGUGCAGCCUCCCUGUGUUAAAAACUUAGCAAGCAUUGUGGUGGAGAGUUGUAGCAAUUUAAACUAUUUAUUGACAUCUUCUAUGGUCGAAAGUCUUGCUCAACUCAAAAGUCUUGAAAUAUGUAAUUGCAAGUCCAUGGAAGAAAUAGUUGUUCCAGAAGGAAUCGGAGAAGGUAAAAUGAUGAGCAAGAUGCUAUUCCCUAAACUACACAUCCUAUCGCUCAUUCGUCUACCAAAACUCACAAGAUUCUGCACCAGUAACUUGCUUGAAUGCCACUCCCUGAAAGUGCUGACGUUAGGGAAAUGCCCUGAACUGAAGGAAUUUAUUUCCAUCCCAUCAAGUGCAGAUGUCCCUGCCAUGAGCAAACCUGACAACACAAAAUCAGCUCUCUUCGAUGACAAGGUGAUUUUAUUUCAAAAGCAGGCUUAAUUUGUGAGCUUGCCUCACACGUGUAUUUUGUUUCUAUGUUUUACCCCAAAGGUGAUAUUUUGUUAUGGGCGUUGGCAAUCUAUUAACAGAAUGGAAUUGUUACUGCAGGUUGCAUUCCCUAACUUGGUGGUAUUUGUAAGUUUCGAAAUGGAUAAUUUGAAGGUGAUAUGGCACAAUGAACUCCAUCCUGAUUCCUUUUGCAGACUGAAGAUACUGCAUGUUGGGCAUGGAAAGAAUUUACUGAAUAUUUUCCCUUCCAGUAUGCUGGGAAGAUUCCAUAAUCUAGAGAAUCUGGUUAUAAAUGAUUGUGAUUCAGUAGAAGAGAUUUUUGAUCUCCAAGCGCUCAUAAAUGUGGAACAAAGACUUGCUGUUACAGCCUCUCAAUUGAGAGUUGUGCGUCUAACGAAUCUUCCACACCUGAAGCAUGUUUGGAAUAGGGAUCCACAAGGAAUUGUUUCCUUCCAUAACCUAUGUACCGUGCAUGUCCAGGGAUGUCUUGGUCUAAGAAGUCUCUUCCCUGCCUCUAUAGCCCAAAACCUUCUACAACUUGAAUUGCUUCGGAUAGAUACCUGUGGAGUGGAGGAAAUUGUUGCGAAGGAUGAAGGACUAGAAGAAGGUCCUGAGUUUGUGUUUCCUAAAGUUACCUUUCUGCAGCUUCGGGAAUUACCAGAACUAAAGAGAUUCUAUCCAGGAAUACAUACAUCAGAAUGGCCGAGGUUGAAAACGCUUCGGGUGUAUGACUGUGAGAAAAUUGAAAUAUUUCCUUCAGAAAUCAAGUGCUCUCACGAACCAUGCAGGGAGGACCACAUGGACAUCCAGGGUCAGCAACCACUUCUCUCAUUUAGGAAGGUAUGAUCCUCACCCCUAUUCCAAGCACGUACACGCUCCACAUCUUUCUAAUUUUCACAUAAACUUUCAUUAGACCGUUAUUAUCACAACUCGAAUAUUAGGUUCAUGACUAGCAAUGCAAAAAGGGUGUUGCAAAGAUACUUCACUUACAUUAAGUCUCAAAAAAAAUAUAUCAAUAGAACAAAUUAUUAAAAAACACACAACAUUUUAUAAUUUUUUAAAAUAUUAUAUUAUUCAAAACUAAUAAAACCAAAUGAUAGUUUAAAAAUUCUCAUCAAUAAUUAAAACAAAAAUAAUAAUUCAUAAUACUCAUUAUAUUAUUAAAAUCCAAACUUAAUUAAAACAAGGUAAUAGUAGAGCAUUUAAAAUAUCGAGUAAAAACUAUAAGAAAAGUCUCACGAAUUAAAUAAGAAAUACUGACCAAAACUAAAAAAGUAAAAACAUUUAACAAAGUUCACUGGUAACAGAAAAUAACAACCUGAAGUAAUAUUAAAAAUAAGAGGUAAGUUUAACUAACUCAGUGAGUGAAUAAUAUUUAAUAUACGUCUUAGAUAUUAAUAUUUUGCAAGACGAUUUAUCUUGACACACACACACACAAUAAGCAUGUUAUCAUAAAGUACAUAUCAGUGAUUAGAUGACACUCCAAGGUGACCGGAUGACAUUCGAAGGUAAUUGUUGUGGGAGGAUCAGUUGUCACAGGUUAAUGUCUCUCUCACUAGUUAGGUGUGUAGAAUAUUAUGCAUAUAUGUUAACUACUCUCAUGGUUAUUAAACCCGGGACCCAGUCGACCUUGUGGUUAGACUGAUCUAGGUAAGACAAAAGAUCGGGAUAAGCAAAAACUCUUCAAAAUCCGGUUGACCUAUUGGGUUGACUAAUGACUCGGGUGACCCGGCAAAACCCGUUUGAGACUCGUUUUUUUUUUUUUUCAAAUGUGUUUUUUCUUCUAGCCAAAGACCCCUCUUGUUUUGUAUUUUUUUUAGUUGAUUAUUAACCCCUUUUAAAGUUCAUUAUAUAAAUACUAAAAUAAUAUUUUAUUUUUUCAAUGUGAGAUUUGAAGCCCUUUAAUAUAUAUACUCUAUGUUCAUAAGAAAACAUUAUAUUUUUUCAAUGUGGGAUAAAAAACCUUUUUGGUUUAAAUACUUCAACUUAAAAGGAUAACAUACUAACAUAAUAUCUUUUCAAUGUGGGAUAAAAAAAACCUUUUGAAAGAAUCUCAAACUUCAUUAUUUAUAAUAUAUAUAGCUUAUAUUCACAUGAAUUAUUUCUUAAUUUUUUCAUAUGAAAUAUUAAAACUUAAAAUAUAUAUUUUUUAAUUUUUCUGAAUUUAUUUAGGUUGACCCGGGAGCAUCUAUGUAACCUGGGACUCGGCUUCUUGGUCGGGUUUGAUAGCCAUAACUACUCUCUGUUAGCAUGAAAUUACUGACAAGUCCUAUAACAAGACAUAAUAAAUACUUAUAUAAUUGUCAAAGCAAUGUAUAUUAUAUCAAAUAGAAUUUAAUUCAACAGAAUGUGAGUGCAGAUUCAAGAAUAGAUGAGUACUUGAAAAAUAAAGCAGCAUAUAUAAAUAUUCAAGUAAUUAACUGGUCAUAAUCAUCAUAUAAUAAACAUACAUAUUUAUUUAUAUUACAUGUAUAUUAAAGAUUAUCUCACUCACCUAUAAAAUACAGAACUAAAAUGAAUACUAGAUGAAAGAUUCAAAAAUCUUAUUGAGGAUCAUAUACUAAAGAUUUAAAGUACCAAUAACAAAUAUACGAAAUAUACUAAAAAAAACCAAAUAAAAAAUUCCAAUGCAUAAUAGAAAUCAGGUUUAGUCUCCUAAUUUUAGGGACAAACGAUAAUUUUUCCAAAAACAGGGACCAAAAUGUAAUUAUCAGAAAUUCAUAACCAUAUUGAAAUUUCAACCAUAAUCCAUAUUAAAUUCUGUCCAGAAUCUCAAUUUACAAUUUAGGAACCAAACUAUAAUUUUUUUCAAAGUGUAGGGACUAAAUUGUAAAUCUCCAAAAUAGAGGGACUAAACUAAAAAUUACGCAAUUCAAUUAUCGAACAGAGGUUCAUCAUCCUUAAUCUCGUAAGAAUACUGUCCAAAAUUCCAAAAUACAUUUUAGAGGUCAAAUUAUUAUUUUCUAAAGUUUAGGGACUAAACUCUAAUUUUCAUUAAUCAAGGACCAAAAUAAAAUUCCAUCAUCUUCAACCUCUAUGCACAGAGAACCCCAAUCGGUUCAGAAUAAAAAGAAAAUCAGAAUUUCAAUCUAAAAGCAGAAAGAGAAUUCUUAUUGAAAGAUUGACAAAGCUUUUGCAUUCAUAACAUUACAAAACUGAAGCUAGAGCUCACGUGGCACAAUUCAUUUAGCCAAGUGUUCAGUUGAUCUUUCUAUGCACAGCCUUUAAACUUGUUAAUAAAACGUCAAGUCAAGCAUGCUUUCUUUUGAUUGGUUUUCAGAUCAUCCCCAACUUGGAGGAUUUACAUUUGGAAAGCAAGGAUGCAUCGGCAUUAUUGAAAUGUCCUCAAUACUUCUUUCACAAACUCAAAGUUCUGGAACUAUUUUGCUUUGGUGAUGCACAUGCAACUUUUCUAUUUGAUCUCCUUCCAAGGUUCCCUAAUAUGGAAAGACUUAAUGUGGAACGUGGUACGUUCAAAGAGUUGCUCCCGUCUAGACUUGUUGGUAUGGAGGAGCAUGCAACAGUUCUUUCACCGAUACGACACUUGGAGUUGGAUUCUCUCCCUUGCCUAGAGCAUUUAUGGAAGAGCAAUUCCCAACUGGACCAAGCUCUUCAAACUCUUGAAACUCUAAGGGUACAUAAUUGCGGCAGUUUGAUUUAUUUAGCUCCAUCGCGUGCUUCUUUCCAAAAUCUAACAAAUUUGUAUGUGUGGAGAUGCGAAAGAUUAGUAAAAUUGGUGACAUCCACAACAGCAAAAAGUCUGGCGCAACUCACAAGAAUGAAAGUAGCGGGCUGCAGAAUGCUUACCGAAAUAGUAGCAAACGAGGAAGAGGGAAUAAAAGAUGAGAUUGUCUUCAGAAAAUUAGAAAUAUUAGAGCUUCAUCGUUUACCAAGCCUAACUAGCUUUUGCUCAGAAAAACACAGCUUUGAUUUCCCAUCUCUGGUAGAAGUAACUGUCAGUCAAUGUCCUGAGAUGAAGUUUUUCUCCAACGGAGCACUGAGCACUCCCAAGCUGCGGACAGUUAAUUUGACUGAAGAAGAGAAGAAAGGAUCCUGGGUUGGAAAUCUUAACACCACAAUACAACAGUUGUCUACACAAACGGUAAGUACCGAUCAAUCAUUCCAAUUUCUAUAAACCAUGAAAUAAGUAACUAGGUAUCUAAUUUUGCUUGUAUUUAACUAUUUCAGAAAGCUCAAAUUGCAGGAAGUAUCAUCGUAAAAGCUUGAGAUACAUGCUUGCUCCACCGAUGGGUUCGAUCCCCGUGCAGCUCCUAUAGUUGGAAGCAAAAGGCUGUCCCAAGAUUGAAGAAAUUGUCACAAAUGAUUUACCAGGUGCGGUAGAUCUUCUGAGAGAACAAAAAGCAAAUGCAACUGAUGGGGCUACUGAACCACAGAUGAUACGGGACAAGAAGAUUUGAAGAAAGAAAAGGAGACAAAGGAAGAAAGGAGGGAGAAGAAGAUGAGAGGAGCAGGAGAAGAGAAGAAGAGGGAGGAGGAGAAAUCAAUGAUCUUCAUAAUUCAUCGUCAAAACUGUAUGGAAUGUAAAAUACAAUACAUAUAAAUAGCAAAACUCAACCCAAACAUUGAUUUGCAAUUUACUAUAAUGGUGUUUUCAUGUAAAAAUAUUAUAAUUGUAAAUUUUGUUAUUUUUUUUGUUUUGUGUGGUAAAAUUGUAAUUUUUGGGUUUUUUUUUUAGAAAACAAGUUUUUUUUAUAUAUUUUUUAUUAUACUUGUUAUUUUUAUCAUUUUAUAUUUGGUUUAUUUAUCAUCAUUUAUUUAUUUUUAAUGUUUUUUUAAUAUUUUUCUUUAUAAUUAUUUUAUAAAAAAAUAUUAAAUUUUAUUUUUUACACUUUAAAUAUUAUCAGUAUACUUGGUUUACUUAUAUUAUUUUUUUUGUUUAUAUCUUUAUUUUUUAUAAAAUUUUUUCUUUGUACUUUUUUUAAAAAAUCUUUUAUACAAAGAUUAAGGAAAAUGCAUUUCAUUAUAGCAAUUAUAAUAUUAUUUUAUUUUUUCAUUACGUUAGUUUAACAUCUUAUAUAUUUUUAUUAAUACAUAUUAUAUUUACUACAAUUUAUUAUAGGCAAGUAUUGAGAAGCUCAAAAACCUUGAGAUAUGCAAUUGCAAGGCAGUGGAAGAAAUAGCAGUCACUGACGGGUGUUCACAUUGUUCUCUUCUAAGGCAGUGUUUUAUCUGCAUUUUAAAAAUGUUUUUAAAAAUAUUUAAAUUUUUUUAAUUUUAAAUUAAAAUAUUUUUAAUAUUUUUAGAUAUUUUAAUGUAUUAAUAUUAAAAAUUAUUUUAAAAAAAUAAAAAAAUAUUAUUUUAAUAUAUUUUAAAAAAAACAUUUUAAAAAAUAACCACGUAAUACUGUCAAAUUCUUUCACUCUUGUUCACAAUCACUUCUGAAUCAAUAUCACUUUCCUAAUUAUUGAAGCAGUAAACGACCAAGUCAUGCAUGAAUCUGCAAUCCAGCACACAGUUGAAGUCCAUGCAUCUCCCGCGACAAGUUUUAUCGCGUCUGAUGCUGCCUCCAGAAUAAUUGAACUGCUCCAAAUGCAGAAAGAUCUUCCUCUUGCACGUACAAGUUUUAUCUUUUUCCAACCCUGCGUCAAGCUCAAGAACUCCAGCUAAAUCUGACAAAUCUAGUGGUGUAAACUAUGAGACUCGUGCCGUCGUGCCCUGAUUUGUAUGGCUCUGAUUAAGAAAACCUUAAUGAGAUCCCCUGCAGAAGUAGCUAGCUCGACUGAUCGCCUUUUGCUGUUGUCCACUCCGAAGAACUAAAGAACAGCCCUCUUCUGAAUCCUCCGCAGCAACUAGAAAUCGUUCAAGUUCACAUCAAGAACUUUUUUCGAAAAGAUUCUUUUUUUCUCUAUUCUGUCUCUCUUUUCGGUAAAAAGCCAAAAGGUCAUCCCCAUUAAAAAUCAAACAUCAACUACACAGUUAUCAAUUGCCAGAGUCUAUGUUAGGACUUCAAUUCCCCCUCGUCACGACCCUGACAUUGAUCUUCAAAAUUAAAUGGAAAAAGAAAUAUUGCAAACGGGCAAUAAUGCCUCAAUCAUGUGUAAACAAAACAGGACCAGCAUGACCUUUCCACAAUAAGAAAGUCAGCAUGUGAUGCUGCAGCUCUUGUUCCUUCAAGUAUCAGGCUCACCACCAUUUUAUUGACCUAAAGAAAAUCAAUGAUGUUAAAUUACUAGCCAGGUAGAUCUCCUGUGCCAUGGCUCAAUUCUAUCCUCGUAAAUUACAGCAACCUGUUUGCUAUAUAUCCGCAAAUAAUUACCGACACCAUGCAAGAACUAGGAUAGUCUUGAAGGGCCUGUAACGAAAAUUGAUCAGCCUAAAAACAGAAAUUUUAAUGCAAGUUUCAACCAGGGAAAAUGAGCAGAAAUGCUGAGCCUGUACGUGCAUCGACUUUAAACAUUAUAAGCAGCAAAUUUAAUUCACAUGUGCUUGAAGAAGAGGACUAUGCAGCCAACAUGAGAUCUACACGCAAGGUUAGCGAGACACUAGAGCACCAGGUUAUAAUUUGAUAAUGCAUCGGCAGCGUAUGUUGGAGUAUAAUUUAUCCACUUGAUCAGUUUCCCUACGAUGCAAGGGAUCAGCCUCAAAGAGGUAAGUCUCUCAUAGACCAUCAACAUAAUAGGAACAUGAAGAAACCUCAUUUCUGAUGUGGGACAACGAAUUGAAGAAGGAAUGAAAAAUGAAAAAGGAAGUCAGAGGAGAGGAGAGAGACGUCUCUUGCAAAGAUGCAAUUUUUUUAAUAGAUAAAUACAGUUAGAUAGUUUAAAACAAACCCUAAUCAAAACAUUACCAAUAAUUGGACUAACAAUUAAGUCUAAAGUACAUGAUUAACAAAUCCAAAUAAAAGUACAAUAAAAUAAACUCGAAUGUGCUCUCAGAUGUGCUCAAUCUCCCAUCCCAACCAAAAUAUGACGGGUUGAGCUAUCCUCCGUUAUUUUCGACCAUACACAUGGGUGUCAUGUGACACGGGUGUCCUCACCAAUCUCUCCUUGGAGGUGGCAGAGAUCUGCAAACAAGGUUAGCGAUAGUACACAGAUGGCCCAGCAAAGGAGUACCGAGAUGAAACUGAUGGAGGUGCAGUUUCAGGCUUGGCUCCGUGGUACUGGAGUAACUUGUUAUAAUUUGACAAUGCAUCAGAAGCAUGCGUCGAGUAUAAUCUACCCUCUUGAUCAGCUUCCCUCCUACGCAAGGGAUCUGCCUCAAAUAGGUAAG
This 19887-nucleotide long non-coding RNA is filed under the name Populus trichocarpa (black cottonwood). RNAcentral's name for it is "long non-coding RNA (PTRI_LNC001406)". The stretch from base 7508 to 7580 matches the Rfam family "tRNA". The record is from RNAcentral. Lineage: Eukaryota; Viridiplantae; Streptophyta; Magnoliopsida; Malpighiales; Salicaceae.